RNAcentral lists this ribosomal RNA (332 nucleotides) under uncultured eukaryote. RNAcentral's name for it is "partial 18S ribosomal RNA". It matches the Rfam family "Eukaryotic small subunit ribosomal RNA", at positions 1470 to 1796 of the family's 1831-position model. The record is from RNAcentral.
CCCUUAGAUGUUCGGGGCCGCACGCGCGCUACACUGAAUGGAUCAACGUGCCUUUCCCGAGGCUGAAAAGUCGAGGUAAUCCGUUGAACCCCAUUCGUGACGGGGAUAGGAGCUUGCAAUUAUUCUCCUUGAACGAGGAAUUCCCAGUAAGCGCGAGUCAUCAGCUCGCGUUGAUUACGUCCCUGCCCUUUGUACACACCGCCCGUCGCUACUACCGAUCGGAUUGUCCUGUGAAUUUCUAGGAGAGUUGAGGUCCUGGCGCUUCGGUGUCGGCGACCUCAUGCUUGAAUUGAAUUGAACUGGACUCUCGAGAGGAAGUAAAAGUCGUAACA